UGAUUGAACUCGUCCUAAACGGCUCCACC
RNAcentral lists this small RNA (29 nucleotides) under Bombyx mori (domestic silkworm). RNAcentral describes it as "ovarian small RNA-33084". Lineage: Eukaryota; Metazoa; Arthropoda; Insecta; Lepidoptera; Bombycidae. The record is from RNAcentral.